This 258-nucleotide ribosomal RNA is filed under the name uncultured bacterium. RNAcentral's name for it is "partial 16S ribosomal RNA". It matches the Rfam family "Bacterial small subunit ribosomal RNA", at positions 524 to 776 of the family's 1533-position model. The record is from RNAcentral.
UACGUAGGGGGGCUAGCGUUGUCCGGAAUCAUUGGGCGUAAAGCGCGUGUAGGCGGCCCUGUAAGUCCGCUGUGAAAAGUCAAAGGGGCUCAACCCUUGGAUGCCGGUGGAUACUGCAGGGCUAGAGUCCGGAAGAGGCGAGUGGAAUUCCUGGUGUAGCGGUGAAAAUGCGCAGAUAUCAGGAGGAACACCGAUGGCGAAGGCAGCUCGCUGGGACGGUACUGACGCUGAGGCGCGAAAGCGUGGGGAGCAAACAGG